AGCAAGGAUGUGCUAGAUAAGAUCUCAGCUGUGGUCCUUGGCUCCUGGAGAAAGCUAACAUGCCUAAACCAAAGAGUAUUAUGCCCCACCCAAUCUAAUUAGUUUCUUCCACUCAGACUCAUAUGCCUAGUAUUGGAAUGGGAGGUGGGGCUAUGGAAGGUAAAACUUAGGAAGUUGCAUCUCGAAUAAUAUCACAGCACCAGCAUUUGAGAAAGCAGUCCUCAGCACUACCUCUUCAGCUCCAGGCAAAGCAGCUUACCACCGUGGGUUGGAGGUACCAGUUGAUUGUCAUACAAUUUCCCGGCAUUUUACAAACAUGAGUAGUCAAGUUUCUAGAUUCCCUAGGGCCCAAAAGCCCAGGAAGAGAAUAUAAUCUCCAUUUCCCUCAAGAAUGUAUACAUACACACACACACAGGUGCAAAUUCGAGUUUGGAAACAAAGACAACGAAGGCUUUUUGUAGGAGAAAAAGUUUCCGUAAAUAAAGAAAAGUUCUUGGCCUGGAGCAUGGUGCAUGCCCCUAGUCCCAGCGCUUAGGAGAAGGCAGAAGAAUCAGAAUUGCAAGAAUAUCCUUAGAUACAUAGCUGAGUUUGCGGAGGCCAGCCUGGGCUACAUGUGCCUUAUCUCAAAACAAAAAGGAAAACAUUUACUAGUGACUCGAGGAUGGUGCGGAGAAACAAGAAAGACAUUUAGAGACGGGAAAGUCAUGGAAACAAAAGCAACACAGAGUGUCUGGGAGAGGCUGGGAAACAGACGCAAGACUUAGAAGAGGGGUGGGGGAGAGAAGAAAGAAAACGGAAAUACGGUCCUAUGGAUUCCGAAAAGACUAUAAAAUCAGGAUGUAAAGCUCUCAGCUACUUCUCCAGCACCAUACCUAUCUGCCUGUCAACACAUUUCCUGCCAAGAUGAUAAUGGACUAACCCUCUAAAGCUGUAAACAAGCCCCCAAUUAAAUGCUUUCUUCUAUAAGUUGCCUUGGUCAUGGUGUCUCUUUAUGGCAAUAGAACAGUAACUAAGGCUUCUGGGAGGGACAGACCCAUUGUCGAUCAAAUAGUGUGGCUGAGAACAGGGUAGAGUUAGUAGCUAAACACAGGGUAGAAGAAAAGGAAAUUGUCCACGAUGCUGAAUUGCCC
RNAcentral lists this long non-coding RNA (1130 nucleotides) under Cricetulus griseus (Chinese hamster). RNAcentral's name for it is "lncRNA (ENSCGRG00015043186.1)". The record is from RNAcentral. Lineage: Eukaryota; Metazoa; Chordata; Mammalia; Rodentia; Cricetidae.